RNAcentral lists this ribosomal RNA (482 nucleotides) under uncultured bacterium. Its description in RNAcentral is "partial 16S ribosomal RNA". It matches the Rfam family "Bacterial small subunit ribosomal RNA", at positions 30 to 507 of the family's 1533-position model. The record is from RNAcentral.
AUUGAACGCUGGCGGCAUGCUUUACACAUGCAAGUCGAACGGUAACAGGCCGCAAGGUGCUGACGAGUGGCGAACGGGUGAGUAAUGCAUCGGAACGUGCCCAGUCGUUGGGGAUAACUACUCGAAAGAGUAGCUAAUACCGCAUACGAUCUAUGGAUGAAAGCGGGGGACCGUAAGGCCUCGCGCGAUUGGAGCAGCCGAUGUCAGAUUAGGUAGUUGGUGGGGUAAAGGCUCACCAAGCCAACGAUCUGUAGCUGGUCUGAGAGGACGACCAGCCACACUGGGACUGAGACACGGCCCAGACUCCUACGGGAGGCAGCAGUGGGGAAUUUUGGACAAUGGGCGCAAGCCUGAUCCAGCAAUGCCGCGUGCAGGAAGAAGGCCUUCGGGUUGUAAACUGCUUUUGUACGGAACGAAACGGCUCUGGUUAAUACCCGGGGCUAAUGACGGCACCGUAAGAAUAAGCACCGGCUAACUACGUG